GGGCCCGUCGUCUAGCCUGGUUAGGACGCCGCCCUGACGCGGCGGAGGUCCGGGGUUCAAGUCCCCGCGGGCCCACCA
This 78-nucleotide transfer RNA is filed under the name Fervidicoccus fontis. Its description in RNAcentral is "tRNA-Val". It matches the Rfam family "tRNA". From Rfam's summary of the family: Transfer RNA (tRNA) molecules are approximately 80 nucleotides in length. Their secondary structure includes four short double-helical elements and three loops (D, anti-codon, and T loops). Further hydrogen bonds mediate the characteristic L-shaped molecular structure. tRNAs have two regions of fundamental functional importance: the anti-codon, which is responsible for specific mRNA codon recognition, and the 3' end, to which the tRNAs corresponding amino acid is attached (by aminoacyl-tRNA synthetases). tRNAs cope with the degeneracy of the genetic code in two manners: having more than one tRNA (with a specific anti-codon) for a particular amino acid; and 'wobble' base-pairing, i.e. permitting non-standard base-pairing at the 3rd anti-codon position. Lineage: Archaea; Thermoproteati; Thermoproteota; Thermoprotei; Fervidicoccales; Fervidicoccaceae. The record is from RNAcentral.